This 212-nucleotide ribosomal RNA is filed under the name Sordariales sp. Its description in RNAcentral is "partial large subunit ribosomal RNA". Lineage: Eukaryota; Fungi; Ascomycota; Sordariomycetes; Sordariales. The record is from RNAcentral.
AAGCGCCUAUGACCAGACUUGCGCCUAGCAGAUCAUCCAGCCUUCUGGCUGGUGCACUCUGUUGGGCUCAGGCCAGCAUCGGUUCUUGCUGGGUGAUAAAGGCGGUGGGAACGUAGCUCUCUUCGGGGAGUGUUAUAGCCCAUCGUGCCAUGACCCGGCGGGGACCGAGGACCGCGCAUCUGCAAGGAUGCUGGCGUAAUGGUCAUCAGCGA